AGACCCGAAACCCGGUGAUCUAGCCAUGGGCAGGUUGAAGGUUGGGUAACACUAACUGGAGGACCGAACCGACUAAUGUUGAAAAAUUAGCGGAUGACCUGUGGCUGGGGGUGAAAGGCCAAUCAAACCGGGAGAUAGCUGGUUCUCCCCGAAAGCUAUUUAGGUAGCGCCUCGUGAAUUCAUCUCCGGGGGUAGAGCACUGUUUCGGCUAGGGGGCCAUCCCGGCUUACCAACCCGAUGCAAACUGCGAAUACCGGAGAAUGUUAUCACGGGAGACACACGGCGGGUGCUAACGUCCGUCGUGAAGAGGGAAACAACCCAGACCGCCAGCUAAGGUCCCAAAGUCAUGGUUAAGUGGGAAACGAUGUGGGAAGGCCCAGACAGCCAGGAUGUUGGCUUAGAAGCAGCCAUCAUUUAAAGAAAGCGUAAUAGCUCACUGGUCGAGUCGGCCUGCGCGGAAGAUGUAACGGGGCUAAACCAUGCACCGAAGCUGCGGCAGCGAACGUAUCACCCAAGACAACUUUACGGAGUUGACGAUUGACGGAGCGAAGCGACGUCAAAGCGUUCAUUAAAGUCGAGUUGGCUUAGGGAUACGUUCGUUGGGUAGGGGAGCGUUCUGUAAGCCUGUGAAGGUGUGUCGUGAGGCAUGCUGGAGGUAUCAGAAGUGCGAAUGCUGACAUAAGUAACGAUAAAGCGGGUGAAAAGCCCGCUCGCCGGAAGACCAAGGGUUCCUGUCCAACGUUAAUCGGGGCAGGGUGAGUCGACCCCUAAGGCGAGGCCGAAAGGCGUAGUCGAUGGGAAACGGGUUAAUAUUCCCGUACUUGGUGUUA
This 830-nucleotide ribosomal RNA is filed under the name Salmonella enterica. RNAcentral's name for it is "partial 23S ribosomal RNA". It matches the Rfam family "Bacterial large subunit ribosomal RNA", at positions 711 to 1453 of the family's 2925-position model. The record is from RNAcentral. RNAcentral also lists the same sequence under 1 other name. Lineage: Bacteria; Pseudomonadati; Pseudomonadota; Gammaproteobacteria; Enterobacterales; Enterobacteriaceae.